UUUGAUAAAAUAUUAAUUUUCUUUUUUUAAUUAAAGUAAUAUUAGUUUUUUUUAUUUAGUAAAGUGUAAAGAAAUAUUUAUGUUAAUUAUAGUUAAUAAGUAUAGUAAUAUAUUAUUGAAAUAUUUUGAAUAUUUUGGGAAAGAAGAGUAUUUGUACCUUUUGUAUCAGGGUAUAUUAAAUUAUAUUAAUGAAUUUUAUUAUCUCGAAUUUAAAAGAGUUAUAUUAAUACAUUGGUUAUUGUGAUAUAAAUAUCAAUAAUGUUAAUAUAGUGAUGAAAUGUUAUUCGAUUUUAAAGAUAUCUAGUUUUUUUAGAUUCAAUUUAAUUGAGAUGUAUAUAGAUUAUUAUUAUAUUUAUGAUAUAUAUAUAUAUAUAUAUAAAAAAAAUAAUUAUUUAUAUGUUAAUUAUAUUAGGGAUAAGCUUGAUAUAAUAAAUUAUGAUUGUAUUUAAUGUGAUUUAUGAGCUUUAAGAUAGUUAUUAUUGAAAAAUGUUAUAAUUUAUUUAUUAUUGAUUUUUUUUUCAUAUUAAAUUAUAUAAAAAUGUUAUAAUUAAUUUGUAUUAUAAAUAAUAAUGAUGUAAUUAGUAAAUUAAAUAAUUUAUAAUAUAAUUUAUGUUAGAAUUAAUUAUAAGGAAUUAGGCAAAAAUAUUAUUCGCCUGUUUAUCAAAAACAUGUCUUCUUGGAAAUAUAAGAAGUCGUAUCUGCUCACUGAUGAAUUAAAGAGCCGCGGUAAUUUGACCGUGCAAAGGUAGCAUAAUAAUUAGUCUUUUAAUUGAAGGCUGGAAUGAAAGAUUUGACGAGAUAAUAUCUGUCUCAUGAUUAUAAAUUGAAUUUUAUUUUUAAGUUAAAAAGCUUAAAUGAAUAUAAGGGACGAGAAGACCCUAUAGAUCUUAAUAAUUAUUAAUUAUUUAAAUAUAUGGAUAAAUGAAUUUAUUUAGUUGAAAUAUUAUUUGAUUGGGGUGAUUAGGAAAUAUAUUAACUUUUUUUGAUAAUAAACUUUGAUAAAAGAAUUUAAGAUCCUUUAUUAUGGAUUAUAAGAUUUAGAUACCUUAGGGAUAACAGCGUUAUUUUAUUUGAGAGUUCUUAUUAACAAUAAAGAUUACGACCUCGAUGUUGGAUUAAGAUUAUAAAUUGGUGCAGAAUUUAAUUUGGUUAGUCUGUUCGACUAUUAAAAUCUUACAUGAUCUGAGUUCAAACCGGUGUAAGCCAGGUUGGUUUCUAUCUUUAUGUAAUGUUUAUACUUUAGUACGAAAGGAUUAAGUAUAAUAAAUAAUUUAUUGUUUUUUGAAUGAAAUUAAUAU
Molecule: ribosomal RNA, 1298 nt
Filed under: Oecanthus sinensis
Lineage: Eukaryota; Metazoa; Arthropoda; Insecta; Orthoptera; Gryllidae
Description: 16S ribosomal RNA
Rfam family: Archaeal large subunit ribosomal RNA (bases 1052-1210)
Source: RNAcentral